CUCCAGAUGAAGCUUUUUAGUUUCUGUCUUAUCUGUUUUUAUUUUAAAUAUAUUUCACAGAAUACUAUAUUUGUCAUGUCCUCAGUGUUAACAGAAUAGGAAAACAAAGCUAUCCACACCUACGUCCACCAAGAAGUGGAAGAAGAGGAGGCGCAUCAUCCAGCACUUUCUCCUCCGGCUUUAACUGUUGCUUGUGCUGGACAGAGAUCAGGGAUUUAUUAUUUUACAUUUUUCCUUUGAUUCUAUGUUUUAAUCAUAUUCUCAUAAAGUUUUAUUUCAUAUUGUGGUGCUGUUGCCCUGGAUGGUGCAUCUCCUCUUUUGUUUGGAGAGCCUCCCAUCGAGGACAGGUUUACUGGCACCUACCGAAAGCCUCUUCAGUUCUCAGAAAUAAACCUUUCAUGGUUCCAAGAGGAACUGAGAUCAGAUCACGUCUUAACUGCAUCAAGCAGCUAAAGCCUAACCAUCAGUCAGUUUAAGGAAGUGACAUCAUGAGAGUCAGAGGAAGUAGACGCUCCAUCUCUCUACCAGAGUCAGUCACACAGUUGGACUGAGACUGAGAACAAGAGACGCUCGAUGGCUGAAUUCACAUGGAUUACAGUGUUUUCCUUAUGGAUGCUAACCU
Long non-coding RNA from Fundulus heteroclitus (mummichog), 622 nucleotides. RefSeq lists it as uncharacterized. NCBI's taxonomy places the organism in Eukaryota, Metazoa, Chordata, Actinopteri, Cyprinodontiformes, Fundulidae. The record is from RefSeq and is a predicted model, not a curated record. The transcript has 3 exons.